GACGAAGGGGGCUAGCGUUGUUCGGAAUUACUGGGCGUAAAGCGCGUGUAGGCGGUUGUCCAAGUUGGAUGUGAAAGCCUUGAGCUCAACUCAAGAAAUGCACUCGGUACUGGGUGACUAGAGGACCGGAGAGGAUAGUGGAAUUCCCAGUGUAGUGGUGAAAUACGUAGAGAUUGGGAAGAACACCAGUGGCGAAGGCGGCUAUCUGGACGGUUUCUGACGCUAAGACGCGAAAGCGUGGGGAGCAAACAGG
Molecule: ribosomal RNA, 253 nt
Filed under: uncultured bacterium
Lineage: Bacteria
Description: partial 16S ribosomal RNA
Rfam family: Bacterial small subunit ribosomal RNA
Source: RNAcentral